This 183-nucleotide ribosomal RNA is filed under the name uncultured bacterium. RNAcentral describes it as "partial 16S ribosomal RNA". It matches the Rfam family "Bacterial small subunit ribosomal RNA", at positions 1320 to 1500 of the family's 1533-position model. The record is from RNAcentral.
AUGAAGCUGGAAUCGCUAGUAAUCGCGGAUCAGAAUGCCGCGGUGAAUACGUUCCCGGGUCUUGUACACACCGCCCGUCACACCAUGGGAGUCGGAAAUGCCCGAAGUCUGUGACCCAACCUGAGAGGGAGGGAGCAGCCGAAGGCAGGUCUGAUGACUGGGGUGAAGUCGUAACAAGGUAUC